Molecule: ribosomal RNA, 379 nt
Filed under: uncultured organism
Description: bacterial SSU rRNA
Rfam family: Bacterial small subunit ribosomal RNA
Source: RNAcentral
ACGAACCGUCCAAAACGUUUAUUCGGAAUUACUGGGCUUAAAGGGUAUGUAGGCGGCGCUGUUAGUCGGGUGUGAAAGCCCUCGGCUCAACCGAGGAAUUGCGCCCGAUACUGCAGUGCUUGAGGGAGACAGAGGUAAGCGGAACUGAUGGUGGAGCGGUGAAAUGCGUUGAUAUCAUCAGGAACACCGGUGGCGAAAGCGGCUUACUGGGUCUCUUCUGACGCUGAGAUACGAAAGCUAGGGGAGCGGAAGGGGAUUAGACUACCCCCGUAGUCCUAGCUGUAAACGUUGAGCACUUGAGUCCGGGGACCCCCCCAUAGGUUCUCGGUCGUAGCGAAAGUGUUAAGUGCUCCGCCUGGGGAGUAUGGUCGCAAGGCUG